GAAUGCUGACAUAAGUAACGAUAAAGCGGGUGAAAAGCCCGCUCGCCGGAAGACCAAGGGUUCCUGUCCAACGUUAAUCGGGGCAGGGUGAGUCGACCCCUAAGGCGAGGCCGAAAGGCGUAGUCGAUGGGAAACGGGUUAAUAUUCCCGUACUUGGUGUUACUGCGAAGGGGGGACGGAGAAGGCUAUGUUGGCCGGGCGACGGUUGUCCCGGUUUAAGCGUGUAGGUGUGUGUUCCAGGUAAAUCCGGUUCACUUUAACACUGAGGCGUGACGACGAGGCACUACGGUGCUGAAGCAACAAAUGCCCUGCUUCCAGGAAAAGCCUCUAAGCAUCAGGUAACACGAAAUCGUACCCCAAACCGACACAGGUGGUCAGGUAGAGAAUACCAAGGCGCUUGAGAGAACUCGGGUGAAGGAAC
Molecule: ribosomal RNA, 421 nt
Filed under: Salmonella enterica
Lineage: Bacteria; Pseudomonadati; Pseudomonadota; Gammaproteobacteria; Enterobacterales; Enterobacteriaceae
Also listed under: 2 other names
Description: partial 23S ribosomal RNA
Rfam family: Bacterial large subunit ribosomal RNA
Source: RNAcentral